UGGCAGCAGCCGCGGUAAUACGUAGGUGGCGAGCGUUAUCCGGAAUUAUUGGGCGUAAAGCGCGCGUAGGUGGUUCAGCAAGUUGGAUGUGAAAGCCCCGGGCUCAACCUGGGAACUGCAUCCAAAACUACUGAGCUAGAGUACGGUAGAGGGUGGUGGAAUUUCCUGUGUAGCGGUGAAAUGCGUAGAUAUAGGAAGGAACACCAGUGGCGAAGGCGACCACCUGGACUGAUACUGACACUGAGGUGCGAAAGCGUGGGGAGCAAACAGGAUUAGAUA
Molecule: ribosomal RNA, 279 nt
Filed under: uncultured bacterium
Lineage: Bacteria
Description: partial 16S ribosomal RNA
Rfam family: Bacterial small subunit ribosomal RNA
Source: RNAcentral